RNAcentral lists this ribosomal RNA (402 nucleotides) under Myzostoma coriaceum. Its description in RNAcentral is "partial 16S ribosomal RNA". It matches the Rfam family "Bacterial large subunit ribosomal RNA", at positions 1858 to 2579 of the family's 2925-position model. Lineage: Eukaryota; Metazoa; Annelida; Myzostomida; Myzostomatidae. The record is from RNAcentral.
UCUGCUCAAUGUAUUUAUAAAUAGCUGCAUUUGUACUAAGGUAGCAUAAUAAUUUGCCUUUUAAUUGAAGGAUUGUAUGAAGGAAUUUACAAAAUUAAUUCUGUCUCAAUAAUAUAAAUAAAAAUUAAUCUAAAAGUGAAAAAGCUUUUAUUUAAUAAAUAGACAAGAAGACCCUGUUGAGCUUUAUCUAUUUUAGAUUUUGUUGGGGCAACAUAAAUUAUUAAUCAAUUUUUAUUUUUUAGAAUAAAUUCAUUUAUUAUAACUUAUUUUAUAAAAUACUAAAAAGUUACCACAGGGAUAACAGACUAAUUUUUUUUGAGAGUUCAAAUUAACAAAAAAGAUUGGCACCUCGAUGUUGGCUUAAGAUUUCAUUUUAAUGUAGAAAUUAAAAUUGUUGGUUUG